RNAcentral lists this ribosomal RNA (433 nucleotides) under uncultured bacterium. Its description in RNAcentral is "partial 16S ribosomal RNA". It matches the Rfam family "Bacterial small subunit ribosomal RNA", at positions 29 to 507 of the family's 1533-position model. The record is from RNAcentral.
AACGAACGCUGGCGGCAUGCCUAACACAUGCAAGUCGAACGAGACCUUCGGGUCUAGUGGCGCACGGGUGCGUAACGCGUGGGAAUCUGCCCUUGGGUUCGGAAUAACAGUUGGAAACGACUGCUAAUACCGGAUGAUGACGUAAGUCCAAAGAUUUAUCGCCCAAGGAUGAGCCCGCGUAGGAUUAGCUAGUUGGUGAGGUAAAGGCUCACCAAGGCGACGAUCCUUAGCUGGACUGAGAGGAUGAUCAGCCACACUGGGACUGAGACACGGCCCAGACUCCUACGGGAGGCAGCAAUGGGGAAUAUUGGACAAUGGGCGAAAGCCUGAUCCAGCAAUGCCGCGUGAGUGAUGAAGGCCUUAGGGUUGUAAAGCUCUUUUACCCGGGAUGAUAAUGACAGUACCGGGAGAAUAAGCUCCGGCUAACUCCGUG